RNAcentral lists this long non-coding RNA (342 nucleotides) under Phoenix dactylifera (date palm). Its description in RNAcentral is "long non-coding RNA (PDAC_LNC015446)". The record is from RNAcentral. Lineage: Eukaryota; Viridiplantae; Streptophyta; Magnoliopsida; Arecales; Arecaceae.
UGUUUCUUCUCCCACGAUCGUGCCCUAGGCACGAUCGUAUAUGGUGGAUGGGCCCGGUCUUUUCGGGCCGGCCCGUCCACCCCUCUCUCUUUUUUUUUUCCUGGGUAUCACAUACUCUCUCCCUUAAAAAAAAUUUCGUCCUCGAAAUUAACUUACUUGAAGCCUCAAACUUUAAAAAUAUGCAUCCGUUAUAUCAUCCCCGAGAUCUCAAGUAGUCUCCCUCUCGGAGUACCUACUCACAAGAUUUUGACAUACAAAAAUCACAGCAUCUUAAAACUUGAUCCUUUCUAUUUACCACACGUAGUAAGUUCUUUUGGUAUCCUUCAAAAGAAUUCCAAACUC